RNAcentral lists this transfer RNA (77 nucleotides) under uncultured Acidimicrobiales bacterium. RNAcentral describes it as "tRNA-Asp-GTC". It matches the Rfam family "tRNA". Rfam says of the family: Transfer RNA (tRNA) molecules are approximately 80 nucleotides in length. Their secondary structure includes four short double-helical elements and three loops (D, anti-codon, and T loops). Further hydrogen bonds mediate the characteristic L-shaped molecular structure. tRNAs have two regions of fundamental functional importance: the anti-codon, which is responsible for specific mRNA codon recognition, and the 3' end, to which the tRNAs corresponding amino acid is attached (by aminoacyl-tRNA synthetases). tRNAs cope with the degeneracy of the genetic code in two manners: having more than one tRNA (with a specific anti-codon) for a particular amino acid; and 'wobble' base-pairing, i.e. permitting non-standard base-pairing at the 3rd anti-codon position. The record is from RNAcentral. Lineage: Bacteria; Bacillati; Actinomycetota; Acidimicrobiia; Acidimicrobiales.
ACCGCCGUAGCUCAGCCGGAUGGAGCAACUGCCUGUCGAGCAGAAGGUCACGGGUUCGAGUCCCGUCGGUGGCGCCA